Pelobates cultripes (western spadefoot toad) is the source of this 453-nucleotide non-coding RNA. NCBI's taxonomy places the organism in Eukaryota, Metazoa, Chordata, Amphibia, Anura, Pelobatidae. The record is from the annotation of a GenBank genome assembly.
CUAAAAGCACACUACUUUAGAGAAGGGUAUCAGCUCACCCUUUAACUCCUUAUCUUGUGCUACCUUCCCUGCAGUCUCAUCUACUAUGCUCCUUCCUUCCAGGUACAUACAGAUCAAUUGAUUACCUCACUUCUGUGUAAUAUUACUUAGGCAGGGCCCUGUUCAUCUGUCAAACAUGAUAGAAUUGUCUUGUUUACCUAUUGUACAGCGCUGUGAAAUAUAUUUGCACUAUAUAAAUAAAUGUACUGGACACACAUUAAUAUAUAAGGGGCAAUCACUGUCACUGUGCUAACAGUUUCAUAAAGGAUCACGAAGCAUAUAAAGUACUUAACUUGGGUCACAGUGGGGGGGGGGGGAAUUAUAAAUUGAUAAAUUAAAUAUGCUGUAACAUUUUUAACCCCUUAAGGACCAAACUUCUGUUAUAAAAGGGAAUCAUGACAUGUCACACAUGUC